GACGAACGCUGGCGGCGUGCUUAACACAUGCAAGUCGAACGGAAAGGCCCUGCUUUUGUGGGGUGCUCGAGUGGCGAACGGGUGAGUAACACGUGAGUAACCUGCCCUUGACUUUGGGAUAACUUCAGGAAACUGGGGCUAAUACCGGAUAGGAGCUCCUGCUGCAUGGUGGGGGUUGGAAAGUUUCGGCGGUUGGGGAUGGACUCGCGGCUUAUCAGCUUGUUGGUGGGGUAGUGGCUUACCAAGGCUUUGACGGGUAGCCGGCCUGUGAGGGUGACCGGCCACAUUGGGACUGAGAGACGGCCCAGACUCCUACGGGAGGCAGCAGUGGGGAAUAUUACACAAUGGGAGGAAGCCUGAUGCAGCAACGCCGCGUGCGGGAUGACGGCCUUCGGGUUGUAAACCGCUGUCGCCUGUGACGAAGCGUGAGUGACGGUAAUGGGUAAAGAAGCACCGGCUAACUACGUG
This 468-nucleotide ribosomal RNA is filed under the name uncultured bacterium. Its description in RNAcentral is "partial 16S ribosomal RNA". It matches the Rfam family "Bacterial small subunit ribosomal RNA", at positions 28 to 507 of the family's 1533-position model. The record is from RNAcentral.